Molecule: small nucleolar RNA, 108 nt
Organism: Callithrix jacchus (white-tufted-ear marmoset)
Lineage: Eukaryota; Metazoa; Chordata; Mammalia; Primates; Cebidae
Source: Ensembl
AUCCUUUGGUAGUUCAUGAGUGGGGUUAUUGGGUGGGUGUACAUGCAUAUGUGUGAGAUGUGCCACCCAUGAAUCUUGUUAUGUUAUCAGUGCAUUACCUGUCUGGCA